UUGGAGGGCAAGUCUGGUGCCAGCAGCCGCGGUAAUUCCAGCUCCAAUAGCGUAUAUUAAAGUUGUUGCAGUUAAAAAGCUCGUAGUUGAAUUUCGGGAUCGAAUUGUUGGUCGUGCUUCGGUACGCACUGGCAUUAUCGGUUCCUACCUUCUGAAGAACCGCGAUGUCAUUAAUUUGGUGUCGUGGGGAAUCAGGACUGUUACUUUGAAAAAAUUAGAGUGUUUAAAGCAGGCUUACGCUUGAAUACAUUAGCAUGGAAUAAUGAAAUAGGACGUUUGAUUCUAUUUUGUUGGUUUCUAGGAUCGACGUAAUGAUUAAUAGGGAUAGUUGGGGGCAUUAGUAUUCAAUUGUCAGAGGUGAAAUUCUUGGAUUUAUUGAAGACUAACUACUGCGAAAGCAUUUGCCAAGGAUGUUUUCAUUAAUCAAGAACGAAAGUUAGGGGAUCGAAGACGAUCAGAUACCGUCGUAGUCUUAACCAUAAACUAUGCCGACUAGGGAUCGGAUGAUGUUAAUUUUAUAAUGACUCAUUCGGCGCCUUACGGGAAAC
RNAcentral lists this ribosomal RNA (548 nucleotides) under uncultured Glomeromycotina. Its description in RNAcentral is "SSU rRNA". It matches the Rfam family "Eukaryotic small subunit ribosomal RNA", at positions 548 to 1098 of the family's 1831-position model. The record is from RNAcentral. Lineage: Eukaryota; Fungi; Glomeromycota.